RNAcentral lists this ribosomal RNA (492 nucleotides) under uncultured bacterium. RNAcentral describes it as "partial 16S ribosomal RNA". It matches the Rfam family "Bacterial small subunit ribosomal RNA", at positions 29 to 507 of the family's 1533-position model. The record is from RNAcentral.
AGUGAACGCUGGCGGUAGGCCUAACACAUGCAAGUCGAACGGCAGCACAGUAAGUUCUUGCUCUUACGGGUUGCGAGAGGCGGACGGGUUACAUAUACAUCGGUAUCUACGUUUUCGUGGGGGAUAACGUAGGGAAAUUUACGCUAAUACCGCAUACGGCCUACGGGUGAAAGCAGUUGAUCUUUGGCCCUUUCGCGAUUGAAUGAGCCGAUGUCGGAUUAGCUAGUUGGCGGGGUAAAGGCCCACCAAGGCGACGAUCCGUAGCUGGUCUGAGAGGAUGAUCAGCCACACUGGAACUGAGACACGGUCCAGACUCCUACGGGAGGCAGCAGUGGGGAAUAUUGGACAAUGGGCGAAAGCCUGAUCCAGCCAUACCGCGUGGGUGAAGAAGGCCUUCGGGUUGUAAAGCCCUUUUGUUGGGAAAGAAAAGCAGCAGGUUAAUACCCCGCUGUUAUGACGGUACCCAAAGAAUAAGCACCGGCUAACUUCGUG